CCUACGGGUGGCAGCAGUGAGGAGUAUUGGUCAAUGGACGAGAGUCUGAACCAGCCAAGUAGCGUGAAGGAUGACUGCCCUAUGGGUUGUAAACUUCUUUUAUAUGGGAAUAAAAUGUUCCACGUGUGGGAUUUUGUAUGUACCAUAUGAAUAAGGAUCGGCUAACUCCGUGCCAGCAGCCGCGGUAAUACGGAGGAUCCGAGCGUUAUCCGGAUUUAUUGGGUUUAAAGGGAGCGUAGGGGGAUUGUUAAGUCAGUUGUGAAAGUUUGCGGCUCAACCGUAAAAUUGCAGUUGAAACUGGCAGUCUUGAGUACAGUAGAGGUGGGCGGAAUUCGUGGUGUAGCGGUGAAAUGCUUAGAUAUCACGAAGAACUCCGAUUGCGAAGGCAGUUCACUGGACUGCAACUGACACUGAGGCUCGAAAGUGUGGGUAUCAAACAGGAUUAGAUACCCCUGUAGUC
RNAcentral lists this ribosomal RNA (460 nucleotides) under uncultured bacterium. RNAcentral describes it as "partial 16S ribosomal RNA". It matches the Rfam family "Bacterial small subunit ribosomal RNA", at positions 338 to 795 of the family's 1533-position model. The record is from RNAcentral.